GUAGGUGGCAAGCGUUGUCCGGAAUUAUUGGGCGUAAAGCGCGCGCAGGUGGUUCUUUAAGUCUGAUGUGAAAGCCCCCCGGCUCAACCGGGGAGGGUCAUUGGAAACUGGGGAACUUGAGUGCAGGAGAGGAAAGUGGAAUUCCACGUGUAGCGGUGAAAUGCGUAGAUAUGUGGAGGAACACCAGUGGCGAAGGCGACUUUCUGGCCUGUAACUGACACUGAGGCGCGAAAGCGUGGGGAGCAAACAGGGAUUAGAUACCCUGGUAGUCCACGCCGUAAACGAUGAGUGCUAAGUGUUGGGGGGGUUUCCCGCCCCUCAGUGCUGCAGCUAACGCAUUAAGCACUCCGCCUGGGGAUACGGUCGCAAGACUG
This 374-nucleotide ribosomal RNA is filed under the name uncultured organism. RNAcentral's name for it is "partial 16S ribosomal RNA". It matches the Rfam family "Bacterial small subunit ribosomal RNA", at positions 527 to 896 of the family's 1533-position model. The record is from RNAcentral.